Molecule: ribosomal RNA, 273 nt
Filed under: Triticum aestivum (bread wheat)
Lineage: Eukaryota; Viridiplantae; Streptophyta; Magnoliopsida; Poales; Poaceae
Description: partial small subunit ribosomal RNA
Source: RNAcentral
AUGAACUACUUUCCAAUAAGGGACUGUAGAACUUAUUGGAGACUUCAUAUCUCUCAGUCCGGUGUUCCGAGGCCAUAUCUGCAUAUGCUAGGCUCGUCAAGUUUAACCCGAAGCUUAUCACACCCAAUCAUCACGUGGUGUCUCGGCACGCUGAACUUUGACAACGGGCAUAUUUCAUUCAGGUGCCACUACACUUCUGCUUCCAUUGACAAUGUCAUAUUCAAUCUCAGUGACGAUGUCUUGAUCAAGUUGGUCAGAGGACGAAUGAAGUAA